CCCUUAGAUGUUCUGGGCCGCACGCGCGCUACACUGACGAAGUCAGCGAGCAUGUCCUACGCCGACAGGUGCGGGGAAUCUUGUCAAACUUCGUCGUGAUGGGGAUUGAUUAUUGAAAUUCUUGAUCAUCAACGAGGAAUUCCUAGUAAGCGCAAGUCAGCAGCUUGCGUUGAUUACGUCCCUGCCCUUUGUACACACCGCCCGUCGCUACUACCGAUUGAAUGGUUUAGUGAGAUCUUCGGAUUGGCGCCACUGCGGCUCAGCAAUGGGCUCGGUGGAUGCCGAAAAGUUGAUCAAACUUGAUCAUUUAGAGGAAGUAAAAGUCGUAUCA
RNAcentral lists this ribosomal RNA (331 nucleotides) under uncultured eukaryote. RNAcentral's name for it is "partial 18S ribosomal RNA". It matches the Rfam family "Eukaryotic small subunit ribosomal RNA", at positions 1470 to 1796 of the family's 1831-position model. The record is from RNAcentral.